CGUUUUAGAAACAUCAGUGGCCAACGAUCGUCAGGAUUGUUGAGCUGCAUUGGCGGGAUUUCGCCGUCUUCGUUUCUCUUUCUUCGCGGACGAACACGCGCUGGGGCUGCAGGCUUGCAGAUCCCUGGUCCUUGACUGGAUAUGCGUUAGGGGCUUGUAGCUCAGUUGGUUAGAGCGCGCGCUUGAUAAGCGUGAGGUCGGAAGUUCAAGUCUUCCCAGGCCCACCACUUUCAUCGAGUGAGCAUUCGUCUUCUGGUUACGGGGCCAUAGCUCAGCUGGGAGAGCGCGUGCUUUGCAAGCAUGAGGUCGUCGGUUCGAUCCCGUCUGGCUCCACCAGAUGGUUUGAUCACCGAGAUCUUGUACCGUCGUCCGCGAAACAUCACUUCGCAUCCUGCUAGUCUGGAUAGACAGCAGAUUGCGUGAUUUCUGACAUCGUAAAGAGGAGAUCGAUCCGAGUUGGAUCGUGCAGCAAGCAAUUGCUACGCGAGACUUCAUUAUCUCCGGAUCAUUUCGGCGCUCGUGCGUCUUCCAGGGCAGCUCACAAGGCUGCGUUGAAAGACAAGCGAGUUGUAAAUGAUCCUUUUAGCGAAGCUUGACCGCCUCGCUAUCGGAACGAUCUUACGAAGCAAGCUGGUCUUUCUAAUCAUUGUCCGGCUGCAGAUAGCGUUCAUCGAGGGCGCGUGCCGCAAGGCAAUUCUGCAGACAACAUUCUGCCGAGUGUGUGGACAUUGAUAAUGAGAGCAAUCAAGUGCCUUAAGGGUGUUCGGUGGAUGCCUUGGCGCUGAGAGGCGAUGAAGGACGUGCUACGCUGCGAUAAGC
This 819-nucleotide unclassified non-coding RNA is filed under the name Bradyrhizobium japonicum. RNAcentral describes it as "partial 16S-23S ribosomal RNA intergenic spacer; may also contain 16S ribosomal RNA and 23S ribosomal RNA". The stretch from base 151 to 224 matches the Rfam family "tRNA". The record is from RNAcentral. Lineage: Bacteria; Pseudomonadati; Pseudomonadota; Alphaproteobacteria; Hyphomicrobiales; Nitrobacteraceae.